AUAAGCGAUUAUACGGCGAAACUGCGAAUGGCUCAUUAUAUAAGUUAUCGUUUAUUUGAUAGUACCUUACUACUUGGAUAACCGUGGUAAUUCUAGAGCUAAUACAUGCUGAAAAUCCCGACUCCGGAAGGGAUGUAUUUAUUAGAUUCAAAACCAAUGCCCCCCGGGCUCACUGGUGAUUCAUGAUAACUGCUCGAAUCGCACGGCCUUGCGCCGGCGAUGGUUCAUUCAAAUUUCUUCCCUAUCAACUUUCGAUGUUUGGGUAGUGGCCAAACAUGGUUGCAACGGGUAACGGAGGGUUAGGGCUCGACCCCGGAGAAGGAGCCUGAGAAACGGCUACUACAUCCAAGGAAGGCAGCAGGCGCGCAAAUUACCCAAUCCCGACGCGGGGAGGUAGUGACAAUAAAUACUGAUACAGGGCUCUUUUGGGUCUUGUAAUUGGAAUGAGCACAAUUUAAAUCCCUUAACGAGGAACAAUUGGAGGGCAAGUCUGGUGCCAGCAGCCGCGGUAAUUCCAGCUCCAAUAGCGUAUAUUAAAGUUGUUGUGGUUAAAAAGCUCGUAGUUGAACCUUGGGCCUGGCUGGCCGGUCCGCCUCACCGCGUGCACUGGUCCGGCCGGGCCUUUCCCUCUGUGGAACCCCAUGCCCUUCGCUGGGUGUGGCGGGGAAACAGGACUUUUACUUUGAAAAAAUUAGAGUGCUCCAGGCAGGCCUAUGCUCGAAUACAUUAGCAUGGAAUAAUGAAAUAGGACGUGCGGUUCUAUUUUGUUGGUUUCUAGGACCGCCGUAAUGAUUAAUAGGGACAGUCGGGGGCAUCAGUAUUCAAUUGUCAGAGGUGAAAUUCUUGGAUUUAUUGAAGACUAACUACUGCGAAAGCAUUUGCCAAGGAUGUUUUCAUUAAUCAGGAACGAAAGUUAGGGGAUCGAAGACGAUCAGAUACCGUCGUAGUCUUAACCAUAAACUAUGCCGACUAGGGAUCGGACGAUGUUAUUCUUUUGACUCGUUCGGCACCUUACGAGAAAUCAAGGUGCUUGGGCUCCAGGGGGAG
This 1047-nucleotide ribosomal RNA is filed under the name Ophiocordyceps rhizoidea. RNAcentral's name for it is "SSU rRNA". It matches the Rfam family "Eukaryotic small subunit ribosomal RNA", at positions 65 to 1123 of the family's 1831-position model. Lineage: Eukaryota; Fungi; Ascomycota; Sordariomycetes; Hypocreales; Ophiocordycipitaceae. The record is from RNAcentral.